RNAcentral lists this ribosomal RNA (500 nucleotides) under uncultured bacterium. RNAcentral's name for it is "partial 16S ribosomal RNA". It matches the Rfam family "Bacterial small subunit ribosomal RNA", at positions 29 to 523 of the family's 1533-position model. The record is from RNAcentral.
UGUGAACGCUGGCGGCGUGCCUAAUACAUGCAAGUCGAGCGGACCACUUCGAUGGUCAGCGGCGGACGGGUGAGUAACACGUGGGCAACCUGCCUGUAAGACUGGGAUAACACCGGGAAACCGGUGCUAAUACCGGAUAAUCCUUUCCUUCACAUGAAGGGAAGCUGAAAGACGGUUUCGGCUGUCACUUACAGAUGGGCCCGCGGCGCAUUAGCUAGUUGGUGAGGUAACGGCUCACCAAGGCAACGGUGCGGAGCCGACCUGAGAGGGUGAUCGGCCACACUGGGACUGAGACACGGCCCAGACUCCUACGGGAGGCAGCAGUAGGGAAUCUUCCGCAAUGGACGAAAGUCUGACGGAGCAACGCCGCGUGAGCGAUGAAGGCUUUCGGGUCGUAAAGCUCUGUUGUCAGGGAAGAACAAGUACCGGAGUAACUGCCGGUACCUUGACGGUACCUGACCAGAAAGCCACGGCUAACUACGUGCCAGCCGCCGCCGUAA